AGUGGCGGACGGGUGAGUAACGCGUAAGAAUCUAACUUCAGGACGGGGACAACAGUGGGAAACGACUGCUAAUACCCGAUGUGCCGCGAGGUGAAACCUAAUUGGCCUGAAGAAGAGCUUGCGUCUGAUUAGCUAGUUGGUGGGGUAAGAGCCUACCAAGGCGACGAUCAGUAGCUGGUCUGAGAGGAUGAGCAGCCACACUGGGACUGAGACACGGCCCAGACUCCUACGGGAGGCAGCAGUGGGGAAUUUUCCGCAAUGGGCGAAAGCCUGACGGAGCAACGCCGCGUGAGGGAGGAAGGUCUUUGGAUUGUAAACCUCUUUUCUCAAGGAAGAAGUUCUGACGGUACUUGAGGAAUCAGCCUCGGCUAACUCCGUGCCAGCAGCCGCGGUAAUACGGGGGAGGCAAGCGUUAUCCGGAAUUAUUGGGCGUAAAGCGUCCGCAGGUGGUCAGCCAAGUCUGCCGUCAAAUCAGGUUGCUUAACGACCUAAAGGCGGUGGAAACUGGCAGACUAGAGAGCAGUAGGGGUAGCAGGAAUUCCCAGUGUAGCGGUGAAAUGCGUAGAGAUUGGGAAGAACAUCGGUGGCGAAAGCGUGCUACUGGGCUGUAUCUGACACUCAGGGACGAAAGCUAGGGGAGCGAAAGGGAUUAGAUACCCCUGUAGUCCUAGCCGUAAACGAUGGAGACUAGGCGUGGCUU
RNAcentral lists this ribosomal RNA (700 nucleotides) under uncultured bacterium. RNAcentral describes it as "bacterial SSU rRNA". It matches the Rfam family "Bacterial small subunit ribosomal RNA", at positions 94 to 828 of the family's 1533-position model. The record is from RNAcentral.